CUUUUAUCAAAAUGAAAACAAACUUUUUCUUUGCUAAUUUUUUGUUUUAAUCCUGGGAAAGUGGAGCCAGCUUAAAAUUCUAGAUUAUUCUGAUGAAGUUGGAGGCUGGUUGGGGGCUUAUAGGAAAAUACUAAUACUACAGACUAAGGUUAUAAAUAGUAGACAUGAACUGGAAAUCUAGACUAGACAAUUGGCCAGUCGCUCCGCACUCCACUGGGAUUCUCGAGUUCUCAUCUGAUGAUUGGCCAACGUAUGCGA
Daphnia pulicaria is the source of this 258-nucleotide long non-coding RNA. RefSeq lists it as uncharacterized. The transcript has 4 exons. NCBI's taxonomy places the organism in Eukaryota, Metazoa, Arthropoda, Branchiopoda, Diplostraca, Daphniidae. The record is from RefSeq and is a predicted model, not a curated record.